CCUACGGGAGGCUGCAGUGGGGAAUAUUGGGCAAUGGGCGCAAGCCUGACCCAGCAACGCCGCGUGAAGGAAGAAGGCUUUCGGGUUGUAAACUUCUUUUCUCAGGGACGAAGCAAGUGACGGUACCUGAGGAAUAAGCCACGGCUAACUACGUGCCAGCAGCCGCGGUAAUACGUAGGUGGCAAGCGUUAUCCGGAUUUACUGGGUGUAAAGGGCGUGUAGGCGGGGACGCAAGUCAGAUGUGAAAUCCACGGGCUCAACCUGUGGUCUGGAUUUGAAACUGUGUUUCUUGAGUACUGGUGAGGCAGACGGAAUUCCUGGUGUAGCGGUGAAAUGCGUAGAUAUUAGGAGGAACACCAGUGGCGAAGGCGGUCUGCUGGACUGUAACUGACGUUGAGGCUCGAAAGCGUGGGGAGCAAACAGGAUUAGAUACCCCAGUAGUC
RNAcentral lists this ribosomal RNA (443 nucleotides) under uncultured bacterium. RNAcentral's name for it is "partial 16S ribosomal RNA". It matches the Rfam family "Bacterial small subunit ribosomal RNA", at positions 338 to 795 of the family's 1533-position model. The record is from RNAcentral.